This 465-nucleotide ribosomal RNA is filed under the name Vreelandella stevensii. RNAcentral's name for it is "partial 16S ribosomal RNA". It matches the Rfam family "Bacterial small subunit ribosomal RNA", at positions 338 to 795 of the family's 1533-position model. The record is from RNAcentral. Lineage: Bacteria; Pseudomonadati; Pseudomonadota; Gammaproteobacteria; Oceanospirillales; Halomonadaceae.
CCUACGGGUGGCAGCAGUGGGGAAUAUUGGACAAUGGGGGGAACCCUGAUCCAGCCAUGCCGCGUGUGUGAAGAAGGCCCUCGGGUUGUAAAGCACUUUCAGUGAGGAAGAACGCCUGGUGGUUAAUACCCAUCAGGAAAGACAUCACUCACAGAAGAAGCACCGGCUAACUCCGUGCCAGCAGCCGCGGUAAUACGGAGGGUGCGAGCGUUAAUCGGAAUUACUGGGCGUAAAGCGCGCGUAGGUGGCUUGAUAAGCCGGUUGUGAAAGCCCCGGGCUCAACCUGGGAACGGCAUCCGGAGCUGUCAAGCUAGAGUGCAGGAGAGGAAGGUAGAAUUCCCGGUGUAGCGGUGAAAUGCGUAGAGAUCGGGAGGAAUACCAGUGGCGAAGGCGGCCUUCUGGACUGACACUGACACUGAGGUGCGAAAGCGUGGGUAGCAAACAGGAUUAGAUACCCCUGUAGUC